AAGCAAGAAAGUGUCCCUCAUUUGGGGUUGAGGAAGUUGGCAGCCUAAACCUAUGGCAGCAUCCUGAGAUCAUCAAGCGGACAUACAGUAUACGCACAAUUGAAGGUCCCGCUGCCAGAGGAGCAGCACACAUUCAUCACCACCAUCAGGACCACCUUCCUCCUCAACAAGACCAUCAGACGCCAUCACCACCCUUUUGGAAAACCUGUGCCUUCAACCAGCCCCAGCAGUGACACUUUGUUUUUGGAGAGACUCUUUAUCAAGAGCUGCAGAGGAAUGCCAGAGACCAUUUCUACAAGCUGUUUUCUGUACUGGCAGAGGACCAGGCUGCCCUCCCUUGGAACUAUGCAGGGUGUGUCACGUGCAAUUUUCCUGCCAUGCUCUGGACAUUUUAAUGACACAACGUGAUACUGAUUUACUUUAUAUCGAGAGAAAUUCCUAUCUGUGCAAUAUCGGUCUAUAUUAUGGUGAAGCUGUUACGUCGAAGUAGACUUUGGAUAACUUUUGCUCACGCUUAUUUUUUUAAAGCUGUUUCUCCUGAUUUCUAUUUUUCUAAAAUAAACAAAUAAAUAAACGCUACCAGUGGACGUGAAACCCAAGCACAGCGGAGGUCGUACUCUCAGAAUAUAUAUAUAUAUAUAUAUAUAUAUAUAUAUAUUUAAAAAAAAACAUACGGUCUCCUUUCUUUUGAACGGCCAAAGCCAUAGCCUGCAAACCUCAACAUUGGCUUCAUUUGGUCAGGAGCUCGCAAAGGAAAGGACUGAUGAAGCACUGUGUGCGCUCUUGCUUACUUUCUUCUUAAUCCUGCAGUAACACUUAAGUAUUUAAGUAAGCCAGAGGUGGAUGUGUGGGAAGAUUUGGUCUUGAUUUGGAUGUGAAGUUAACCGAAUCGAGUAGUUAGCCAUUCUCUAUACCUUUUUGUGGCCUGUUUUUUUUUUUUUUUUUUUUUUUUGUAUUUCUUCCUGCAUAUCAAGGCAUUAUCUGGUGUUUGUACAUGUGCGAGUGUGUUCGAAUGCAGGUUUACGAAUAGACUGUUGGUUAUGUUCUCACCCUCUUUACCUGAGACCUUGUGAAUAAGUGGAAAUUGUGUCUCUUAAGCUGCUCUCCUCGUGCCGUGUGGACUGGAUAUACCCAGCAUUAUAGAAAUUACUGUCCUUCAAAAUGUCCUUGAACAGUCAAUUCAUCCAGUACCUCGCAUGCAGUGUUACAUUUUACGAUUAGAUGUAACGGUCACUAGUACUGUGUUUUGUCAUGGGUUUUAAUUAAGUCAGUGUAAAGUCAACAGAUAUUCCCGACUUGACAAAGGAACAUGUCUUUUGCCAUUUUUAUUUUGAACUCGGGGAACGUGGCAACGGUCAGACAUAUUCAUUGUAAUCUUCAUAAUUUACAGGGUGAUGCAAGGUGAUGGAAACAUUCUCACAACAUUCUCAAAACUGUAAUACAUCGAUGCAAGUAGUGUGUAAUUAUGGAUAUUCCAGUGUGAGCACAAUGGAAAGCAGUCUUCAGGGUUUUACAGGG
This is a long non-coding RNA of Denticeps clupeoides (denticle herring), 1518 nucleotides long. NCBI's taxonomy places the organism in Eukaryota, Metazoa, Chordata, Actinopteri, Clupeiformes, Denticipitidae. The record is from Ensembl.